This 704-nucleotide ribosomal RNA is filed under the name uncultured prokaryote. RNAcentral's name for it is "bacterial SSU rRNA". It matches the Rfam family "Bacterial small subunit ribosomal RNA", at positions 28 to 692 of the family's 1533-position model. The record is from RNAcentral.
GACGAACGCUGGCGGCAUGCCUAACACAUGCAAGUCGAACGGAGUUUUAAUCCGGAAGUUUUCGGAUGGAAAGAUUAAAACUUAGUGGCGGACGGGUGAGUAACGCGUGGGUAACCUGCCCUUUAGUGGGGAACAACAUCGAGAAAUCGGUGCUAAUACCGCAUACGCUUUAGAAGUCGCAUGGCUUUUAAAGGAAAGAUGGCCUCUUAACAAUGCUAUCGCUAAAGGAUGGACCCGCGUCUGAUUAGCUAGUUGGUGAGGUAAUGGCUCACCAAGGCAACGAUCAGUAGCCGGCCUGAGAGGGUGAACGGCCACACUGGGACUGAGACACGGCCCAGACUCCUACGGGAGGCAGCAGUGGGGAAUCUUCCGCAAUGGGCGCAAGCCUGACGGAGCAAUGCCGCGUGAGUGAAGAAGGCCUUCGGGUUGUAAAACUCUGUCCUAUUUGAAGAGAGGUAUGCGUGUGAAUAAUGCGUAUAUAGGACGGUAAAAUAGGAGGAAGCCCCGGCUAACUACGUGCCAGCAGCCGCGGUAAUACGUAGGGGGCAAGCGUUGUCCGGAAUCACUGGGCGUAAAGGGCGCGUAGGCGGUCUGUUAAGUCAGUUGUGAAAACUCGGGGCUCAACCCCAAGACUGCAAUUGAUACUGACAGACUUGAGUAUGGAAGANGAGAGUGGAAUUCCUAGUGUAGCGGUGAAAUGCGUA